AAUGAACGCUGGCGGCGUGCCUAAUACAUGCAAGUCGAACGAAGUGGCGCACGGGCGAGUAAUAUAUAGUUAAUCUGCCCUACACAGAGGAACAACAGUUGGAAACGACUGCUUAUACCUCAUAGUGUAGGAUGAGACUAUAUUGUAUCAGCUAGUUGGUAAGGUAAUGGGUUACCAUGGCUAGGACGCGUAACUGGUCUGAGAGGAUGAUCAGUGACAUUGGAACGGAGACACGGUCCAGACUCCUACGGGAGGCAGCAGUGAGGAAUGAUGCGCAAAGGGGGAAGCCCUGACGCAGCAACGCCGCGUGGAGGAUGAUACUUUUCGGGGCGGAAACUCCUUUUAACAGGAAAACGGUACCGGAUGAAUAAGCACCGGCUAACUCCGUGCCAGCAGCCGCGGUAAUUC
This 408-nucleotide ribosomal RNA is filed under the name uncultured bacterium. RNAcentral's name for it is "partial 16S ribosomal RNA". It matches the Rfam family "Bacterial small subunit ribosomal RNA", at positions 29 to 526 of the family's 1533-position model. The record is from RNAcentral.